GAUAUACUUCUCCAAAAUCGCGGAAAAACCUGGACACAGAGGGAAUCCCGAGGGCUCAUACAAUUAAUGGGCUUUUAUGAUGUGUAAAAAGCAUUAGGAAUAAGGGCGGGGUAAGACCGGGGCCAGCCGCCGCGGAAAUACCGGCAGCUCGGGGGGUAGCCACUUUUAUUGGGCCUAAAGGGUCCGUAGCCGGUCAGGUAAAUCCUUGGGUAAAUCGUACAGUUUAACUGUGCGGCUUCCGGGGAGACUGCUUGAUUUGGGACCGGGAGAGGUUGGAGGAACUCCUAGGGAAGGGGUGAAAUCCUGUAAUCCUAGGUGGACCACCGGUGGGGAAGGCGUCCAACAAGAACGGCUCCAACGGUGAGGGACGAAGGUUAGGGCCGCAAACCGGAUUAGAUACCCGGGUAGUCCUAGCUGUAAACCCUCCAAACUUGGGGUUGGAGAUCCCCCGGGGGUGUCCAGUGCCGGAAAAAAGUUGUUAAGUUUGCCGCCUGGGAAGAAUGGUCGCAAGACUGAAACUAAAAGGAAUUGGGGGGGGAAAGGGCAAAUUCCCGGCCGCUAAAUUCAAUUCCCCCUAUAGGGAGUCGUAUUACAAUUCACUGGCCGCGGUUUUUCAAAA
RNAcentral lists this ribosomal RNA (619 nucleotides) under uncultured euryarchaeote. Its description in RNAcentral is "partial 16S ribosomal RNA". It matches the Rfam family "Archaeal small subunit ribosomal RNA", at positions 319 to 966 of the family's 1478-position model. Lineage: Archaea; Methanobacteriati; Methanobacteriota. The record is from RNAcentral.